RNAcentral lists this non-coding RNA (29 nucleotides) under Homo sapiens (human). The record is from RNAcentral. Lineage: Eukaryota; Metazoa; Chordata; Mammalia; Primates; Hominidae.
GAAGAAUGUGGAAUCCUUAUGCUUGCGAG